CGCUUACGCGCGCGAGAUUUCGCGUGGCAGCCACCUGCUGAUGCGCAGGCUUUGCCAACCCAGCUUUUCGCCGCUGGAUACUGGAGAGUCCCAACAGUCCAUGAGGACAUGCGCAGAUUAAAACGGGGAACCGAGCAGUUUGAAGACCGAGAAACAGGGCAGCAGCCCUCCGAUAAGCAGGAUCCGGUGGAACGGACACCGUUUUCUGUUCUUU
RNAcentral lists this long non-coding RNA (214 nucleotides) under Monodon monoceros (narwhal). RNAcentral describes it as "lncRNA (ENSMMNG00015012195.1)". Lineage: Eukaryota; Metazoa; Chordata; Mammalia; Artiodactyla; Monodontidae. The record is from RNAcentral.